Molecule: ribosomal RNA, 496 nt
Filed under: uncultured bacterium
Lineage: Bacteria
Description: partial 16S ribosomal RNA
Rfam family: Bacterial small subunit ribosomal RNA
Source: RNAcentral
GAUGAACGCUGGCGGCGUGCCUAAUACAUGCAAGUCGAGCGAACAGAUGAGGAGCUUGCUCCUCUGACGGUAGCGGCGGACGGGUGAGUAACACGUGGAUAACCUACCUAUAAUACUGGGAUAACUUCGGGAAACCGGAGCUAAUACCGCAUAAUAUAUUGAACCGCAUGGUGCAAUAGUGAUAGACGGUUUUGCUGUCACUAAUAGCUGGAUCCGCGCGGCUUUAGCUAGUGGGUAAGGGAACGGCUUACCAAGGCAACGAUGCGUGGCCGACCUGAGGGAGUGAUCGGCCAACCUGGACCUAGACACGGGCCCAGACCCCAACGGGAGGCAGCAGGGGGAAUUCUGCCGCAAUGGGGGAAAGCCUAACCAGGCAACGCGGCGGGAGUGAGAAGGGCCUUCGGUUCGUAAACCCCUGUUAUUAGAGAAAAAAAAAUGUGUAAGUAACUAUGCACGACUUGAGGGAACCUAAGAAGAAGGCCCCGCUAAACUACGU